CUGACAAUGACAGGGCUUCCUGCAGCACGUGUGUGUGUGCAUGUGUGUGUGUGCAUGUGUGUGUGUGCGUGUGUGUGUGCGUGUGUGUAUGCAUGUGCACACAUGUGAGGGAGUGUGUGUAAGGGAGGGAGUGUGAGGGUGUGCAAGAGGGCUCGUGCCCUCAAAAGUAGGGACCUGUGGGCUCAAGGCUGUGUGUCCACAAGUGUAUGAGAGUGGGGUGUGUGUGUGAGCUGGUGUACACACAAGUGUGUCUAGGGUGUGUGUGUAAGUGUAGGUGUGUGCUCAAGGCUGUGUGUGUAAGGGUGUGUG
RNAcentral lists this long non-coding RNA (309 nucleotides) under Homo sapiens (human). RNAcentral describes it as "HSALNT0290312". The record is from RNAcentral. Lineage: Eukaryota; Metazoa; Chordata; Mammalia; Primates; Hominidae.